AUGGGAAGCUCGCCAGCCUCAGGACAACCCGUUCAUUGGGAGGCCGCCGCCGCCGCCGCCCCCCCUCUGGCCAGAGGCCGAAGGGUUCCCCCGAGGCAGCCAGUACAGGCAUCCUCAGAAGCGGGCCUUCGCUGCUGUGGCUGGCUGGAGGAGAGCGAGCGAGCGAGGGCGGGCGGGACCCGGUGCCAAGACGAGCCCCUUUGGAAAUGGGGGCCGGGGAAGGAAAGAGGCCAGGCGAGGAGACCGAAGGCGCUGCGUCCCCGGCUUCUAAGACCUCCUCCCCUCCUCUCGGGCCACCUCCCGCUGAGGGGCCCCGCCUUGACCCACCUGGGGAGCGGCUCAGAGGGGUCCAGCCUGCUGGGUCUUUGCUCUCCUGGAUCCUGGACGGGGAGUCCCACUAGCGGGCAGAGAUGCUCCGCAGCGUCGACCGGGGCGGGGAGGUCCGCCUGGUCCUUCUGGAGCGCCACAAGAAGCCCCGUGGCCAUGGCAAGGUGCGGGGGCGCCUCUUUUGGAGGGAGACUCGCUUGGCUGCCUCUGGAGAAAGGGCACCGGCCCAAGGGUCUGGCGCAGCGGCCGCGGCAGCCCGGCCACUCCUUACCCGUCGCCCGCCACCGCCCAAUUUCUCCCCUCUCUCGGGGCCUGCCAGAAGCAGGAAGCCUGGCUGGGGAGUUUCACAUCGGAAGAGCGUCAGGCUCCCACGCUGUCUGGGGAAGGCAGAGGAAAUUCCUCCCCUCUGGGUGGGCCCCCGCGCUGGGGAGGUGGAAGGCGGCUGGCGGGACUCCUGGAGUAUCCCCCAGGCAGGCACCGGCGACCCUUCCCCAAGCCACGCCGGUUGAAGGAUGUUCCCCUUUCCCAGGGAGCAGGAUCAGCCUCCAGGCAGCUGUAGAGCAGUGUGGAGGUCUGCAGGGAAGGCAGAAAGCCAGAGCACUGCUGGGGGGGGGGAGGGUCCAUCUUCCACCUGGGACACCUUUCGACCCCUCUGGCAGUGCCUGUGGACUCCAGCAAUGGGGCAAGCUGCCCCCGCUACCCCCGCUGACAAAGCAGAGGGGGAGGGGGGCUUCCCAAUGUUUCCUCCUUCCUUGGGAAGCUUCCUGA
RNAcentral lists this long non-coding RNA (1095 nucleotides) under Pogona vitticeps (central bearded dragon). RNAcentral describes it as "lncRNA (ENSPVIG00000019451.1)". Lineage: Eukaryota; Metazoa; Chordata; Lepidosauria; Squamata; Agamidae. The record is from RNAcentral.